AGGACGAACGCUGGCGGCGUGCUUAACACAUGCAAGUCGAGCGGAAAGGCCCUUCGGGGUACUCGAGCGGCGAACGGGUGAGUAACACGUGAGCAAUCUGCCCCUAGCUUCGGGAUAGCUCCGGGAAAACCGGAUUAAUACCGAAUACGACUACGGCCGACAUCGGCUGUGGUGGAAAGUUUUUUCGGCUAGGGAUGAGCUCGCGGCCUAUCAGCUUGUUGGUGAGGUAACGGCUCACCAAGGCGACGACGGGUA
RNAcentral lists this ribosomal RNA (255 nucleotides) under uncultured bacterium. RNAcentral's name for it is "partial small subunit ribosomal RNA". It matches the Rfam family "Bacterial small subunit ribosomal RNA", at positions 26 to 285 of the family's 1533-position model. The record is from RNAcentral.